Molecule: ribosomal RNA, 617 nt
Filed under: uncultured Carnobacteriaceae bacterium
Lineage: Bacteria; Bacillati; Bacillota; Bacilli; Lactobacillales; Carnobacteriaceae
Description: bacterial SSU rRNA
Rfam family: Bacterial small subunit ribosomal RNA
Source: RNAcentral
UUUUCUAUGGAAGCUUGCUUCCACUGAGAAGAUAGUGGCGGACGGGUGAGUAACACGUGGGUAACCUGCCCAUAAGAGGGGGAUAACAUCCGGAAACGGGUGCUAAUACCGCAUAGUUUUCUUGAUCGCAUGAUUGAGAAAGGAAAGACGGCCUUUGUGCUGUCGCUUAUGGAUGGACCCGCGGCGUAUUAGUUAGUUGGUGAGGUAACGGCUCACCAAGACGAUGAUACGUAGCCGACCUGAGAGGGUGAUCGGCCACAUUGGGACUGAGACACGGCCCAAACUCCUACGGGAGGCAGCAGUAGGGAAUCUUCCGCAAUGGACGAAAGUCUGACGGAGCAACGCCGCGUGAGUGAAGAAGGUUUUCGGAUCGUAAAACUCUGUUGUCAGAGAAGAACAAGUCGGAGAGUAACUGCUCCGGCCUUGACGGUAUCUGACCAGAAAGCCACGGCUAACUACGUGCCAGCAGCCGCGGUAAUACGUAGGUGGCAAGCGUUGUCCGGAUUUAUUGGGCGUAAAGCGAGCGCAGGCGGUUCCUUAAGUCUGAUGUGAAAGCCCACGGCUCAACCGUGGAAGGUCAUUGGAAACUGGGGAACUUGAGUGCAGAAGAGGAGAGU